RNAcentral lists this long non-coding RNA (19247 nucleotides) under Gossypium barbadense (sea-island cotton). RNAcentral describes it as "long non-coding RNA (GBAR_LNC023310)". Lineage: Eukaryota; Viridiplantae; Streptophyta; Magnoliopsida; Malvales; Malvaceae. The record is from RNAcentral.
CUGUUUUUUGUUGGCAGAAUACGGAAAAUCAGGGUCUUCAAACUCCAACAAUGCUUUCGCCACUUCAACAUUGCCACAACGUGCUGCUUCGUGUAAAGCCAUGUUGGAUUCCUGAUCCGUAAUCCUCAGCAUCUCCCUGACUGCAUUUACUGAUCCAUUCCCAGCUUCUCUAAAUCUCCAUCUCUAGCUUUUGCGCAAAACUUGAUUAGAAGUUUCACAAUAGCAGAAUGUCCAUUCCUUGCUGUAACGUGUAAAGGAGUUUGACCUUUAGCAUUCGUUUGGAGUAGCAGUGACGGACACUUGCUGAGAAUUUGUUCGAUGAAAUCUGAUCUUUUUUUCUCUUUUUAUCAUAGUAAUGAAAAAACUCAUAACCGGAUCGGAUGAGUGAAAUCUGUUUAAAAGCCAGGCGGCAGUCUCCUGGGUUGCCAAGUUAACAUGGAGGACGUUGUCAUGGUUUGGGGUCUUCAGUGACUCAAGUUGAAGUCCCUGCUUAUUAUUGAAUACUUCAAUGUUGCCUUCUGCUGCUGUCUUAUAGAGCGAAGCAUCCAUGUGGCUGAUGUUCUCUUCAGGCUCCUGAGGUCCCAUUUUUGUUGAUCUAUUUCUACCAGGAUAACACCAAACAAAAUUUAAUUAAUUAUCUUGAAACAUCCUAAGCUCAAGAAAAAAAACUGCAAAUUAAGAAAUUUACCAAAUUCCAUACCUAUUUGUUUGUUGCUUGCAUAUCCUCCGUUCAAGUCACCUACAACUAUAUAUAUAUAAUUUCAUACUUGAACACUUUAGUAAUAGUAAUAUAUAAGGGUUAGAGGCCAGGUCAAUAAAGUAGGAGGUUUUAUGGUGAAAUUUGGGGUUAAGGAAACUGUAAAGAAAACACUUAGCAAAGAAGGUGAAGAAUUGAAGAAAAAGAAGGGAAGAAAAUGGAGUGUACAGCUCUUCGUGGUCAAGGCAAUGCUGCCCUAAGUACUAUUCUUGCUUUGUGCUUUAUUAACUUUAUAAUUUUACUUUAAACAAAACGACAAUCUCUGGUUAGAGGUCAGGUCAAUAAAUGAGGAGUUUUUUACGGUGAAAUUUGGGUUUAAGGAAACUGUAAAGAAAAUACUUGGCAAAGAAGGAGAAGAAUUGAGCAAAAAAGGCAGGGCAGAUGAAACAAUUUGCAAGUCUAUGAGAAGGUUCUAAAAUCACAUAACCAACUGUGUUGAAAGCAAUCACCAAGGACAUUAGACAUGAAUUGGGCUUAAUAUAAAAUUAUAUUAAUAUCUCAAUAAUUUAUUUUUGAUAAAAGAAGAUCCAGAAUUCCAAAGUGGAUGGAGAGGGAAAAAAUAAAGAGAAUAAAGGCCAGUUGUUGGAACAUUGGCAGCAACAAAUCAAGAAACAAACUAAGUUUGUUAAGUAAAACAAUGAGAAAACCGAGCAAAAGUUUGAAAAAGAGACUAGAACUUGAACAAAAGAUGAUUUUGCAAGAAUCAAUCUAAUUUUCAUUGAUCAUUUCAAAAUAUAUGUAACUUACAAUAGAAAUUUGACAGUUACCUAAUGAUAUAACUGCUCCCACUAAUUAAUACUAAUGCAAACUUAAGUUACACAUAAAAGAAAGCUGUCAUAACAGCUAUUACAUCAAGGUUCAAAUCUAAACUAAUCUCACUAACUUUUGAACAAGAUUACAAUUGAACUAGACAAAGUUUCAUAGGAACAAAAUGAUCAAAAUACAACAAAAUUUGUUGUUGCAUUUGGUUCUGCUUCAUUGCAUAUCUACAUGGUGAGCUGUUGAAGUUUCGGUCACUGGUAAAAUGUUGCAUUGCAGGCCAAUGCUCAACACUUUUCCUUGGACUAUAUGCAACAUACACCAAUUUUGUUUUUCAAAUCCUCGAACUUAGCUGUACCAAGUGGCUUUGUCAAAAUGUCAGCCAAUUGGUCUUGUGAGCUGCAAUGAACAAGGCUGGUUUCUCCUGUCUGCUCAGCCUCUUUAACAAAAUGAAAUUUAAUUUUAAAGUGUUUAGUCAUGCCAUGGAAGACUGGAUUUUUAGCUAUGGCAACUGCUGAUUGGUUGUCAACCAUGAUUUCAGUAGCUUCACUUUGUUCUUCAUUCAAAUCAGACAACAAUUUCCUGAGCCAAAUGGCUUGAUUCACUGCUUGCUGCUGCAAUAUACUCUGCUUCAGCUGUGGAUUGAGCAACAGUUUGUUGCUUCUUUGAACUCCAACAAAAUACUCCUGAGCCAAGUGUGAAGAAGUAGCCCGAGGUGCUUCUCAUGUCAUUUGCAGAGCCUGCCCAGUCACUGUCUGAGUAUCCAAUUAGCUUGAGCUCAUUUUCCCUCUUGAACAUGACACCAAACUUCAAGGUUCCCUUAACAUACCUAAGUACUCUUUUUGCUGCCUUGAAAUGAUAUGUGUCACAACAGUGCAUGAAUCUAGACAAAAAGCUAACAGCAUGCAUGAGAUCAAGUCUAGUUGCAGUCAAAUAAAGCAAACAGCCAAUUAAGCUUCUAUACUCUUUCUCAUCUACCCUCUCUUGGCUUCCAAAAUUGGUCAACCUUUCUCCUUGGGCCAUUGGUGUGUUUACUGGUUUACAGUUAGACAUGCAAAAUUUGUCUAGGAUCUUCAGAGCAAAAGCAUACUAGCUAAUAAAGAUUCCUCAAUCAGACUGGUUCACUUCCAUACCAAGGAAGUAUGUCAUGGCUUCCAAGUCAGUCAUAUCAAACAUUUCCUUCAUUUGAGUCUUGAAGUCAUUGAUCAGAUCAGUUCUGCUUCCAGUCACUAGCAGAUCAUCUACAUAAACUGAAAUAAUCAACAAAGUUUCAUCUUCAGUCUUCUUUACAUAGAGUGUUGGUUUACUCAGACUUUUCUCGAACCCAAGUCUGCACAAGUAGGCAUCAACUUAAUCAUACCAGGCUCUAGGUGCCUGUUUCAGACCAUACAAGGCUUUCUUCAGCCUAUAGACUUUAUUCUCUUCUCUUGGGACUUUAAACCCUUCUGGUUGCUUUAUGUAAAUUUCCUCCUUUAGAAAACCAUUCAAAAAGGCUGACUUGACAUCUAAUUGGUGAAUCUUCCACUGUUUCUGUGUAGCCAAGGCAAACAGAAGCUUGAUUGUGUCAAGCCUAGAUACUGGAGCAAAUGUCUCCAUGAAGUCAGUGCCAUACUCUUGACUAUAGCCCUUUACCACCAAUCUUGCCUUAUGUUUGUUUAAAGAGCCAUCAGAGUUGAAUUUGGCUCUAAAAACCCAUUUGACACCUAUGACUUUCUUCUGGUCUGGCCUAUCAAACAAGUCUCAUGUUUCAUUUUUCCUGAUCAUGUCAAGCUCAGCUUCCAUUGCCUUCCUCCAGCAUCUAUCCCUUGCAGCUUCUUCAUAGCUUGAAGGCUCAACUAUUGCUGUAUUGCAUCUAUGGUAGAUGUCAGCAAUGGUUCUGGUUCCUCUCACAGGAAGAUCAUCAAUGUCUGCACUUUCUGGUUCAUUCACAAUUGGCUCUAAGCUGAUGUCAAGUUGGUCUUCAUCAAACUGACUUGCAUCUACACCUUCCCAGCUCCAAAACUUCUCCUCAUCAAAUUUAAUGUCCCUGCUCACCAAGAUUUUCUUUGUCGAAGGGUCAUACACUCUAUAGCCCUUUUUGUUAUUGCUAUAGCCCACAAAUAUACCAGGAGCAGACUUUCUCUCAAGUUUUGUUCUUCUUUCAGCUGGAAUGAGCACAUAGCACACACAUCCAAACACUUUCAGAUGGGAAACUGAUGGUUUGAGCCCAUACCAUGCCUCAAAGGGUGUUUUGUCCUUUACAGCUCUUGUUGGAAGCUUGUUCAACAGGUAAAUUGAGGUGUGGAUAGCUUCUGCCCAAAAUUUGCUUGGAAGUUUACUUUGAAAAAGCAAACAUCUGGCCAUAUUCAUCACUGUCCUGUUUUUCCUUUCACAAACUCCAUUUUGCUGUGGAGUAUAGACUGUGGUUAGCUGAUGGUGGAUCCCUGCAUGCUUACAAAACUUUUGAAACUUUUCAUACAAGUAUUCAGUCCCAUUGUUAGUUCUCAAGGCCUUGAUCUUGCAACCUAUUUGGUUCUCCACUAGUGCCUUGAAUUUGCUGAAGGCCUCAAACACUUCAGACUUGUGUUUCAUGAAGUAAACCCAACAAAAUCUGGUCAAAUCAUCAAUGAACAACACAAAAUACUUGCUGCCAUUUAAAGAAGGGGACUUCAUUGGUCCACAAAUAUCAAAGUGCACUAGUUUAAGCCUUUCUUCAGCUCUCCAGGCUUGGUUCACUGGAAAUGGUAAUCAAGCUUGCUUACCAAGCUGACAGAUAUCACAAACAGUGUCACUUGCAUCUACCUUGGACAUGUUCUCUACUAAAUUUUGUUUGUGCAACAGAUCAAGUGAUCUGAAAUUAGUAUGGCCUAAUCUUCUAUGCCAUAGGCCAACAUUAUCAGCCAAGCUUACAUAAGCUUUGUUUUCUAGCUGAUUUACAUCAAGCAUGAAACAUUUAUCUACCAUGCCUAUUGUAAUCAAUUUUUGACCAUGACAGUCCUUAAUAACACAUGAACCAUUCUUGAAAACUAGGAAAUACCCUUUUUCAACCAACUGACCAACACUCAACAGAUUCUGAUCAAUAUUGGGCACAAAGAGCACAUCUGAAAUGAUUUUAUUACUUGAACAAGUGCUGAUUAAAACACUGCCUCUGCCUUUGGCUUCAAUUAGUUCACCAUUGCCAAUUCUGAUUUUUGAGCCAUAGCUUCUAUCUAGAUCCUUGAGCAGACUCUCAUCACCUGCCAUAUGGUGUGAGCAGCCACUGUCCACCAACCAAUUGCUUCUGACUUUGCUUGAAGAUGCAAAGCAAGAGGCUGUGAACACAUGCUCCUCUUGAGCUUGAAGGUUCUCAGUAGCUUGAGCUUGGAUCUGCUACUGUGCUGGUGCCUUUGGUUUGUUUUUGCAAACUUUCUCAACAUGGCCAAACUAUUUGCAGCUCCUACAUUGUAUGUCUGGUCUAAACUAGCAAAACCUUUCAGAAUGUAUGGUCUUCUUGCAAUGGACACAUAGUGGAAACUUUCUCUUGCCUGAAUCUCUCCUUGGUUUGUCCCUCUUGUCAAGCCAAGGCUUCUUACCUUUCUGACUUGUGCUGGAACUCUCUUUGGCCUUUGCUUGGAAGGUUCCUUCAAGAUGGUCUUCCUGCCUGUUGGCCAUUCUCUACUCCAAAACAUAAAGAGAGUUCACCAACUCAGACAAAGAGAUGGUUGUCAAGUCCCUUGAGUCCUCGAGUGAUGAGAUUUUGGAUUCAAAUCUCUCAGGGAGUGUGGUAAUAACCUUUUCAACCACCCUGCUAUCACUAAAAUCCUCACCAAGUAGCCCUAUGCUGUUGACAGUGGCCAUGAUCCUGUCUGAGUAUUGCUUAAUGCUCUCAGACUCUUUCAUUUUCAAGUUUUCAAAGUCUCUCCUCAGAUUAAUCACUUGUUGCUGCCUUGUCUUGUCUGACCCCAUGAACUCCUCCUUCAAGCUCUCCCAUGCUUCCUUAAGUGUGCUGCAGGCCAUGAUUCGAGUGAAGAUUACAUCAAACACUCCAUUUUGCAAGUAGGCCAAGGCUUUGUGCUUCUUGGUGCUCUCUUCAGCAUGCUGCCUAAUUUGAGCAAUUGUGGGAUUAGCCCUCAAUGGAGGUGGUUCAAUGUCGUUUUCAACUACACUCUACAAGUUUUGAGCUUGAAGAUAAGUCUUCAUCUUGACUACCCAGAUGUGAUAGUUUUCACCAGCAAAUACUAGAGGUGGAGGUGGUGUGAAGCUCAUCCUGUUGCAACAAGUUCAACAGCUUCAAACUCUUACUUUCUCGUGCUUUGUUUUCUCAAAUGAAACAUCCAACAAUUAGAGGCCCUCAAAGGCUUAGGCUCUGUAUACCAUAUGUUGGAACAUUGGCAGUAACAAAUCAAGAAACAAACUUAGUUUGUUAAGUAAAACAAUGAGAAAACCGAGCAAAAGUUUGAAAAAGAGACUAGAACUUGAACAAAAGAUGAUUUUGCAAGAAUCAAUCUAAUUUUUAUUGAUCAUUUCAAAAUAUAUGUAACUUACAAUAGAAAUUUGACAGUUACCUAAUGAUAUAACUGCUCCCACUAAUGAAUACUAAUGCAAACUUAAGUUACACACAAAAUAAAGCUGUCAUAACAGCUAUUACAUCAAGGUUCAAAAUCUCACUAACUUUUGAACAAGAUUACAAUUGAACUAGACAAAGUUUCAUAGGAACAAAAUGAUCAAAAUACAACUAAAUUUGUUGCUGCAUUCGAUUCUGCUUCAUUGCAUAUCUGCAUGGUGAGCUGCUGAAGUUUCGGUUACUGGUAAAAUGUUGCAUUGCAGGCCAAUGCUCAACAGCAAUGCAUAACAAAUGCUUAAAUGCUGCCUCGUAAAUUAGAAAAGGAGUUCCUUGCUCUGACCUUUUUUCACCCUUGAAAUCACUUGGAACAAUUAUGGUUGCUACGAAUGCCACAAUGGCUAUAAGUGCCGCCACUACUAAAUGAAAAUCUCUUAUCUUCUCCAAGCUUUCUGCAGAGACAGUUAAUAAGGGAAUGUGAAAAAAUGGUAACUUGGCUACUUGUUCAAGCGCAAUAUCUUUCAAACAUUCUUCAAUUUGCUUAUGGCAUGCCACCCACAUUAGCCGAUUGUAUUGUAAUGUAGGUCUAUUAUAUAUAUAUGUUAAUUCAAAACCCAAUUAUUAAUAAAACCAUAGCCCUUGGUCAUAGAAAUACACACACCUUUUCACACUGAUAUUUCUCAUGAUGACUCAUAUCGAAGUGCAUCAUAAACUUGUUGAGGUGUCAUCCCCCUCCAUCCCUUUAACACUUCUUCAUCUCUUUCCUUUGUCAAAUUCCCUACUUCAACAUUUUAGCAUACCAUAAUCUCCAACAAUGUUAUCCUUGCUAUGUGUUUUACUAAUUUUAUACUUCAAACAAAAUGACAUUAAUCUCCCAUCUUGUUGUAAUCUCUUCAACUCGGCCUAUACAUUAGAUCCAAAUUUGAGAGAUUACAUCGGUCACCGAAAUGGCCUAGUAGCGAUCAAAGUUUAAAAAAUGACCAAUUUAAAAUAUAGAAAACUUAGCUUAUUUUCAGUAUAACACAUGAGAGUUAAAUUUUCCGAUUUAUUUAUUACUCAAUACUAAAUUAUAAUUUAGCAAUGGAAAAAUGAUUUUCAACUUAAUUUUAUUCAAACCAUAUUUCAUGCUUAAUUAAUUAAAAUUCAUAUAUUAAAUUAAGUUAAAUGUCAUACAUGCUAAAUUAAACAAAAACCUAAGUCUCAUGCAACGAUUUAAAUAAGAUAUUACAGUUCCUGAAUAACAAAAAAUUUUGAAUAAUAAAUCCAAAAUAUUUUAAUAAAUAAAACCCAAGUCGAGUCCUCUGUAUGCCGAGUCUGCAUCCUAACUUGGUGGAUUAUCUGUAAAGAUGGAAAUAAAAUAGAAGUGAACUAUGAAGCUUAAUGUGAGUUCAAUCAUAAGAAAACCACUGCAAACAACAGACAAAACAUAUAGAAUAUCAAUUCAUAGAAUAAAUCACAAUUAAUUAACCAUACAAAAUAUCAAUAAAUCAGAUCAAUUCAUCAACAUAAUAUCUCAAUGUUCAAAGCCAUGUACAUCUCUGAAUGCAAUGCAAUUUCAAAGAAAUAGAAUAGGUCCUACCCAACUCCAUUAUACACUAUAAUAGGAGAUCCCUAGAACUCCUCUACUUUUACACCACAGUGGAGAUAAACCACUAAUGUUGCAUAUAGACUACUAGUAUGGCGUGGAUAAACCAAUAGUAUUAAAAAGGGUGAAUGAACCACCUGAUUUUUCUAUUUUUUUUAAACAGUUUUUGCAGACAAGCUGCCAUUAAGUUGUGGAUGCAUAACACAUUUGUAGAUUAAAGUUGUUAAUACGAUGUAGAUAAAUCACUAAUCAAUACUGAUAAAAGCUACUAAUACGGUGUGGAUAAACCACUAAUUGGUGUAGAUAAAAACUACCAAUAUACAGUGUAUUAAUAUGGACUAAUAACACAUUAGAUUAGACACAAAAUGAAUUAAUCUUAAAUUCGUUUAAAAACUAAUUUACUGUUGGCGUUCACUGUGUCCUUAUUUUACAUUUGUCCUAAGUAUACCUUAGUUCAAAAAUAGCAAAAAAUAAAAAAUAAAAACUAUUUUGUUAAAAGUUGAGACGUCAAAUAUAAUAGAUUAGAAAGCUCGAAAUGACUUCAUCAAAUUUGGUUGAAAAUAUAUGGGCUUAGGAGUGUAGCCAGGGGUUGACAAGGACCUAGCCCUCUAAAAUAGAAAUUUUUUCUUUUUGUCUCUUUAUAAUUUAUAAAAUUUUAAAUUAAUAAUAAUAAAAUUAUAUUUUGGCCCCUUCCCAAAAGAUAAAAUUUUGAUUUAAUUCUUUAAAAAUGAUUUAGAUAUAGGCUAUUAAAAUGGUGGAAUUACAAUUUUUUUCCUAUGGUAUUUAAUAUACCGAGAUAUGAAUUUUAAUUUACAAAUUGUAGACAACACAUAUUUAAUAAUAUACUAAUUUUGGGCGUCAGAAGAGUGUUAAAAUCUUCCUUUUGUGUAACCGACUCUCGAAUCUAGCCAAAAAUUUCAUUUUAAAGAAGAAUUUCCAAAAUUUUCUUUUUCAAAGGUAAUUUUAUAAGUGUUUGAUCACACAUAGCCAAAAAGAUUGGCGGCAGUUUCCCAUUUUUAAAUAAAACCUUAUGUUUUCCCCAAACUUAAAAUUCUCAUAUUUUUCAAUGAUUCGUCAAACUAAUUUUUAAUUAUAAGGGAGAAUUAGUUACAACAUCUUUAUUAUUAUUUGAUCUUUAACAAAUCUUAGUUUACAGAAAUUAUGAUUUUUUUAAUCUUUUUUGAAAUUGUAUGUGUAUCAACUAAUAAUUUUAUAUUAAAUUCAAUUAAAUGAAGAUGGUUAAUAUUAAAGUAAUAAUUUCUUCAAAGAGGUAACAUUCACACUAGGAAUUGGGAAAAUAUUGUAAUCAAUGAAGAAGUAAUAUCCUCCUAAUAUAGUACUCAAAAAUAGUCCAAUGCAGAACAAAAAAGAAGGCAGGGCAGAUGAGAUAUGACACAAUGGCAAGUCCGUGGGAAGGUUUUAAGACCAUAUAACUGCCUGUGCUGAAAGCAAUAAUCAUCGCAACCGUUGCAUAGCCAAGGAGCCCAGAAACAGCUUGAGUUCGAUAUAAAAUUGUUUCACUCCAAAAUUUAAAUACUGUAAACAGAUUAUCCAGUGUUGAAAAGUCAAAUUAAAAGGGGUGUUGAAAAGUCAAAAAAAUGGGAGGUGCAAGUGGCACCGAAAGAAAAAAAUGGUAGGCAAGUUGUUUAAAGUUGAAUGGGAUAAUUGCAAUUUUGGUCCCUAAUUUUUUAGGCCAUUUGCAAGUUAGUCCCUGAACCUCAACUAUAAAUAGGCCUAACCAUUUCUCAUUUACACCAUCCCAACCAAUCUUUCUCUCUUAGUUUUCUUUCUUCUCCCAUUUGAGAAUUCUUAAGGAAUUCUAUUUGUUUGUAAUAUUUUGAAGAUAGUAAAGUUAUCAUCUGGUGUUAGUGCCCGAGGACGUAGGUAUAAUUUACCGAACCUCGUUAAAACUCUUGUGCUCUUUCUUGUCCUAUUUUUCUUUCAAUAUUUGAGGGUAUAAUAGUAGUAUUUAAUUGUGCUAUUAAAUUACUAUAGAAGGGAUAUUCUGACUAAGGAAAACUUGGUAUUUAAGAGAUCCAUGUGAUCCACCUCUCUUCCCUGGGAAUUGAACUUUGUGUGAUUUUUUAGUACAAUAAUUUACAUGCUUCCGACCCUAUUGGAACAACAAGUGAUAUCAAGAGCCGAAGGUUAAUCGUAGUAUGCUCUGUGGUUGCAGUUUGAAUUGAUCUUCCACAUCAGAAAAGAUUUCCUUAGGUAUAUUGAAAGAUUAUGGAGAAAACGGUCGGUGUAGGAGCUUCAACAUCGUCCAUGUGGACAAGACCGACAAUUACAAAUGCAAGACUGGCCGUGGAGAUCUUUGAUGGCACGGGCCAUUUUGGUAUGUGGCAAAGUGAGGUUCUAGAUGCCCUUUUUCAGCAGGGUCUAGACAUUGCCAUUGAUGAAGAGAAACUAGAUGAUGUACAGGAGAAAGAUUGGAAGGCGAUCAAUCGGUUGGCAUGUGGCACAAUUCGAUCAUGCCUUUCUCGAGAGCAGAGGUAUGCUUUUUCAAAGGAGACUUCUGCAAAUAAGUUGUGGGUGGCACUUGAAGAAAAUUUUUUGAAGAAAAACAGUCAAAAUAAGCUCCACUUGAAGAAAAGACUGUUUCACUUCACUUACGUCCCAAGUACCACAAUGAAUGAUCACAUCACCAAAUUUAAUCAGUUAGUCACUGAUUUGCUAAAUAUGGAUGAGACAUUCAAAGAUGAAGAUUUGGCUUUGACGCUGUUGGGGUCACUUCCUGAGGAGUUUGAGUUCCUAGAAACUACUCUACUUCAUGGCAGGAGUGAUAUAUCUCUGAGCGAAGUCUGUGCGGCCUUAUACAGUUAUGAACAUAGAAAGAAGGACAAACAGAAAAACUCAAUCAGAGAUACAGAAGCGUUAGUAGUCCGAGGUCGUUCAUACACUCGGAAGAAAACUCAGAAGGGGAGAUCAAAGUCAAAGUCCAGACUCGGGAAAGAUGAAUGUGCCUUUUGUCAUGAGAAAGGCCACUGGAAGAAAAAUUGUCCAAAGCUGAAGAAAAAGGGAAAAGCUGCUGUAGAUGCUUGUGUUGCAAAGCAUGAUACUAGUGACUCUGAACUAUCACUGGUUGCAUCAUCAUCGUCGUUCCAUUCAGAUAAGUGGAUAUUGGAUUCGGGUUGUACCUAUCAUAUGUCCCCUAAUCGGGAGUGGUUCUCUGAUUUAGUAGAACUAAAUGGAGGAGUUGUUUAUAUGGGCAAUGACAAUGCCUGUAAAACUAUUGGGAUAGGUUCAAUCCAAUUAAAGAAUCAAGAUGGAUCAACCAGAGUUUUGACUGAUGUUCGGUACGUGCCCAGUUUGAAGAAAAAUCUCAUCUCAUUGGGAGCCUUGGAAUCCAAUGGUUCAGUUGUUACUAUGAGAGAUGAGAUUUUGAAAGUGACAUCUGGCGCACUUGUGAUAUUGAAGGGCAUCAGGAAAAAUAACUUGUAUUACUACCAAGGUAGUACAGUUAUUGGAGCAGUCGCUACAGCUUCCGGUAACAAAGAAUUGGACUCAAUGCAGUUGUGGCAUAUGAAGUUGGGACAUGCCAGCAAAAAAUCCUUGCAAAUUCUGGCAAAGCAAGGAUUGUUGAAAGGUGCAAAGGCUUGCAAAUUAAAAUUUUGCGAGCAUUGUGUUCUGGGAAAGCAAAAGAGAGUGAAAUUCGGUACUACUAUCCAUAAUACAAAAGGUAUUUUGGAAUAUGUUCACUCAGAUGUGUGGGGGCCUUCCAAGACAGCUUUAUUGGGAGGAAAACACUACUUUGUUACUUUUGUUGAUGACUUUUCCAGAAGAGUUUGGGUGUAUACCAUGAGAACUAAGGAUGAAGUGCUUAGAGUUUUUCUUAAAUGGAAAACUAUGAUCGAAAACUAGACUAGCAAGAAAAUCAAGCGGCUUAGGACGGACAAUGGAGGGGAAUAUAAAAGUGAUCCGUUCUUCGAUAUGUGCCAAGAGUAUAGUAUUGUUCGACACUUCACAGUUAGGGAUACACCACAGCAGAAUGGAUUGGCAGAGCGUAUGAAUCAAACAUUGCUGGAGAAAGUUCGAUGUAUGUUGUCCAAUGCUGGGUUGGGCAAGCAAUUUUGGGCUGAGGCUGUGACAUACGCUGGCCAUCUUGUUAAUCGUUUGCCAUCAUCUGCAUUAGAAAGAAAAACUCCUAUGGAGGUAUAGUCUGGAAAACCGGCUACAGAUUAUGAUUCCUUACAUGUGUUUGGAUCCACUGCAUAUUACCAUGUGAAGGAGUCAAAGUUAGAUCCGAGGGCAAAGAAAGCUCUCUUUAUGGGAAUCACUUCUGGAGUGAAGGGAUUUCGUCUUUGGUGCUUAAGCACAAAUAAAAUGAUCUGUAGCAGAGGUGUUACCUUUGAUGAAUCUGCCACAUUGAAAAAGGUAGCAGAUAAAGAUAUUCAGACGAGCAAUACUCCACAGCAGGUGGAGUGUACUCCAAAACAUGUGGAGUUUGAGCAGAUGGAGAUUUGCCCAGUUAAUAAGUCUAAUUCUUCAGCCACAAUGGAGGAAUUAGAGAUUGAAGAGGUUCUGACACAAGAACCAUUAAGUACACCAGAACCAGUUGCAGUUGCAAGGCCACGGAGAGAAAUUCGUAAACCUGCUCGAUUUACUGAUAUGGUGGCCUACGCCCUUCCCGUUGUUGAUGAUAUUCCUAUCACUUAUCAAGAAGCAAUGCAAAGCUUAGAAAGUGAUAAAUGGAAAAGCGCCAUGGAUGAAGAAAUGUAGUCUCUCCUGAAAAAUAAUACUUGGGAGUUGGCGCAAUUACCGAAAGGUAAAAGGGCAAUUGGAUGCAAGUGGGUAUUCGCAAAGAAAGAUGGAUCUCCUAAAAAGAAGGAUAUUCGCUACAAGGCAAGAUUGGUAGCUAAAGGCUACGCUCAGAAGGAGGGAAUUGACUACAAUGAUGUAUUUUCCCCUGUUGUGAAGCAUUCAUCCAUUAGAAUUUUGUUGGCCUUGGUAGCACAGUUGAAUUUGGAACUAGCUCAACUUGAUGUUAAGACGGCUUUCUUGCAUGGUGAGUUAGAAGAGGAGAUCUAUAUGACUCAGCCCGAAGGAUACACAGAUGCUGGUGGUAGAAAUUGGGUUUGUAAGCUGAACAAAUCGCUAUAUGGAUUGAAGCAAUCCCUGAGGCAGUGGUACAAGCGAUUUGAUAGCUUUAUGAGAAGGCAGAAGUACACAAGAAGCAAAUAUGACAAUUGUGUGUAUUUGCAGAAGCUGCAUGACAGAUCUUUCAUUUAUCUACUCUUGUAUGUUGAUGAUAUGUUAAUCGCUUCGAAGAGCCAAAAAGAGAUAGAUAAGCUGAAGGCUCAGUUGAAUCAAGAGUUCGAGAUGAAAGAUCUAGGUGAGGCCAAGAAGAUUCUCGGCAUGGAGAUAAGUAGAGAUAGACAGAGAGGCAAGCUUUGUUUGAAUCAGAAGCAAUAUCUGAAAAAGGUAUUACAAUGUUUUGGUGUAAAUGAAAACACAAAACAUGUAAGUACCCCACUUGCUUCUCAUUUGAAACUUAGUGCUCAAUUAUCUCCGAAAACUGAAGAAGAAAGAGAAUAUAUGGCAAAAGUCCCAUAUGCUAAUGCAGUUGGGAGUUUGAUGUAUGCGAUGGUGUGUACGCGGCCUGACAUUUCACAAGUUGUUGGAGUUGUGAGCAGGUAUAUGCAUGAUCCUGGAAAAGGACAUUGGCAAGCUGUGAAAUGGAUUCUACGGUAUCUUCGAAAAACCGUAGAUGUUGGUUUAAUUUUUGAACAGGAUGAAGCACUUGGUCAGUUUGUAGUUGGAUAUGUUGAUUCCGACUUUGCUGGUGAUUUAGAUAAACGUCGUUCAACUACGGGGUAUCUGUUUACUCUUGCGAAAGCCCCAGUGAGUUGGAAGUCUACCUUACAGUCUACAGUAGCUGUGUCUACUACAGAGGCAGAAUAUAUGGCAGUUACAGAAGCUGUUAAGGAGGCUAUUUGGCUUAAUGGAUUGUUGAAAGACUUAGGAGUUGUUCAAAGUCACAUAAGUUUAUAUUGUGACAGUCAGAGCGCUAUUCAUUUAGCGAAAAAUCAAGUCUAUCAUUCAAGAACCAAGCAUAUCGACGUAAGAUAUCACUUUGUGCGGGAAGUCUUUGAAAAAGGAAAUAUUCUACUUCAGAAGAUUCCGACAGCAGAUAAUCCCGCAGAUAUGAUGACCAAGGUGGUAACAACAAUCAAGUUUAAUCAUUGUUUGAACUUGAUUAACAUCCUGAGAAUUUGAGCACCUUCAGGUGUAUGGCGCUCGAGAGCGCAUUUGGAGGCACUACAAAAGAUAACUUUAUCGAAUUUGGGGAGUUGAAGGAAGUGUGUGAAGAUGUGAUUAUCCUAAUCAAAUCUUCAAGGUGGAGAUUGUUGAAAAGUCAAAUUAAAAUGGGUGUUGAAAAGUCAAAAAAAUGGGAGGUGCAAGUGGCACCGAAAGAAAAAAAUGGUAGGCAAGUUGUUUAAAGUUGAAUGGGAUAAUUGCAAUUUUGGUCCCUAAUUUUUUAGUCCAUUUGCAAGUUAGUCCCUGAACCUCAACUAUAAAUAGGCCUAACCAUUUCUCAUUUACACCAUCCCAACCAAUCUUUCUCUCUUAGUUUUCUUUCUUCUCCCAUUUGAGAAUUCUUAAGGAAUUCUAUUUGUUUGUAAUAUUUUGACGAUAGUAAAGUUAUCAUCUGCUGUUAGUGCCCGAGGACGUAGGUAUAAUUUACCGAACCUCGUUAAAACUCUUGUGUUCUUUCUUGUCCUAUUUUUCUUUCAAUAUUUGAGGGUAUAAUAGUAGUAUUUAAUUGUGCUAUUAAAUUACUAUAGAAGGGAUAUUCUGACUAAGGAAAGACUUGGUAUUUAAGAGAUCCAUGUGAUCCACCUCUCUUCCCUGGGAAUUGAACUUUGUGUGAUUUUUUAGUACAAUAAUUUACACGCUUCCGACCCUAUUGGAACAACAUCCAAAACCCCAAAAUGGAUGAAUAGGGCAGAAACAGAGAAAAUAAAGGCCAUUGCAUUUGUUACAACAAAUGCUUUAAAGGCUGCCUCAUGAAUCAAAAAGGGAGUGCCUUGCUUUGACCCUUUUUCGCUCUCCAAACCACCAGGAACAGUUAUUGCCGCUGCGAAGGUGACGGUGGCUAUAAGUGCUGCCACUAUUAAAUGAGUAUUUCUUAUAGCCUCCAAUCUUUCUAUAGAAACAUUUGGUAAGUGAAAGUGACGAACUGGUUGCUCUGCCACUUGAUCGUUCUCAAUUUCUUCCAACAAUUCUUUGAUUUGCUUUUGUCAUGCCACCCACAUUAACCGAUUGUAUUGUAAGUUUAUUAAAUAUGUUAAUUCAAAACUUAAAUAUUAAUAAAACCAUAGCCAUGGAAAUGCAAUAUAUAUACACACACCUGUUUAUGAUGUUGUUUCUUAGAUUGAAGUGUAUUAUAAACUUCUUGAGGUGUGAUUCCAAAGGCACCUUCCAACUCCAUUAGAUUUCUAACUGAUCCAUAUACAAGGUCAACACCACCACGCUUAAAAACAGAACUCCCUGAUGGAAAGACAGAGUCUCUAAAAGCCGUAUAAUGAAGUAAAUUCAAACCUUUGUUGUCCACUUUUUCGCAACAAUCUGGACAUAUAGAGAGAAUCUUUGAACUUGUUCCACCAUUACCUUGCCUGGCUGCCAUGAGGGGUGUCAUCCCCCUCUUUUUAUCUCCUAUAUAGGCAGCUGACACAUCCCUUUUUAACAGUUCUUCCACAACUGAUAAUCUAGAACCCUAGUGUGCAGCAUAAUGAAGAGGGGUGUGUCCAUCUUCAUCUCUUUCUUUUGUCAAAUUCCCCUUCUUCUCUAAUAUUAUCUUUACUGCCUCUAAAUCCAAACAAAAAAAAAUGUCAAUAGACCUGUUCUUUAUUUAUUUUAAAUUUUUAAAAAAAAUGGAACUAACUCAACAACAUACCUGCAUCUCUAGCCAUAGCUGCUGCAUGCAAAACUGUUCUACCGUGGGGGCCGCCAUGAGCUGUUGAUUUCGAUUUAUCUAAUAGCAUCCUCAGCAUGCCCCCGUCUCCUCUCCUAGCUGCUAUGUAAAGUGGAGUCUCCAGCUUUAUAUUGGCAGAAUACGGAAAAUCAGGGUCUUCAAACUCCAACAAUGCUUUCACCACUUCAACAUUGCCACAUCGUGCUGCUUCAUGUAAAGCCGUGUUGGAUUCCUGAUCCGUAAUCCUCAGCAUCUCCCUCACGUCAUUUACUUGAUCCAUUCCCAGCUUCUCUAAAUAUCCAUCUCUAGCUUUUGCACAAGACUUGAUUAGAAGUUUCACAAUAGCAGAAUGUCCAUACCUUGCUGCAACGUGCAAAGGAGUUUGGCCUUUACCAUUCGUUUGGAGUAGCAGUGACGGGCACCUGCUAAGAAUUUGUUCGAUAAAAUCUGAUCUUUUUUCUCCUCUUAUAUUAGUAAUUAAAUCACGCAUAGGCGGAAAGAAGCAUCCAUAUAGUAAGGGGACGAAUUUGAUUAUUGGGAGAAAUAUGUUAAAAAGGAAGGCAGCAUUCUCCUGGGUUGCCAAGUUAACAUGAAGCACGUUGCAAUGGUUUGGGGUCUUUAGCGACUCAAGUUGAAGCCCCUGGUUAUUAUUGAAUACUUCAAUGUUGCCUUCUGCUGCUGCCUUAUACAGCCAAGCAUCCAUGUGAAUUAUGUUCCCUUCAGGCUCCAUUUUUGUUGAUCUAUUUCUUCUUGGAUAACACCAAACAAAAUUGAAUUAAUUAGCUUCAAACAUCCAAAAUUCGAGAAAUUUUUUUAUUACAAAUUCAAAAAAAAAAUCAAAUGUUUUACUUGUUUGUCAAUUAGCUGGCAACAUGCUUCAUUGAAAUUACCUACAAGUUGAUCAAAACAAACGAAAACUAUAUCAUUCCAUAAUUGUUGAAAGCUCCGUAACAUAUUUUAAUUCCCUUUUGGCGUCCACGUUAAUUUAAAAAUAACAAAAAAAUUAUUUUGUUGAAAGUUAAGAUUGUUGAGACAUCAAAUAUAAUAGAGUGGAAAGUUCGAAAUUAUUUCACCAAAAUUGGUUGAAACAUAAGAGUUUAGGGGUGAAGCUAGUGUUGGAGGGAUACUAGUACCCUAAAAUGGAAAAUUUUUCUUUUAGUCCAUUUAUAAUUUAUAAAAUUUUAAAUUAAUAUUGGUAAAAUUAUAUUUUGAUCUCCCAAAAAGGAUAAAUAUAAUUUAAUUUAAUCUUUUAAAGCUUAUAAAGAUAUAGGUUCUCAAAAUGGUGGAAUUGUAAUUUUUUUAACUAUAGUAAAAGUAUACAACUUAAUUUUUUGCGUAACCAACUGUCGAACUGAAACAUUUUUCUAUUGAUUUCUAUUAUAAACUCAAAAUUUUCUUUUAAAAGGUGAUUUUAUAGGUGUUUGAUCACACCUAAUAAAAAAAUUGGCGGCAACUUCUCAUUUUUAAAUAAAACCUUGUGUUUUUCUUAAACCUAAAAUUCUCAUAUUUUUUAAUGAUUCGUCAAACUAUUUUAAUUAUAAGGGAGAAUUAUUUACAACAUCUUUAUUAUUCUUUGAAUUUAAUAAAUCUUACUUUAAAUAAAUUGUGAUUUUUUUAUCUUUUUUGAAAUUGUAUGUGUAUCAACUAAUAACUUUAUAUUGAUUUCAAUUAAACGGAGAUUAUUAAUAUUAAAGUAAUAUUUCACCAAAUUUUGUUUUUCAAACCGAGUCAAUUAAGUUGUAAUGUAAAAGUAAAUAGCAAAAAAGUAAAAAUAAAGUGAAAUCAACACAAAUAAUACAUGCAUAAAUUCUAAAAACACUAAAAUAAGGCACAAACAGAAGCAAUUUCAGUCUAAAAACCAGUUUAAAACCAAUGAAAAUGGUAUAAAAAUAUUCACAAAGUAUGCCGAGAUCCACACAAGAAUUGAAAUCCAUUUGCGGGUAAGUAAAGAGGUGAAAAUAAAGGCAGGGCCGACCAAACAUGAAGCUAUGGCAAGUGCGUGAGAAGGUUUUAACACAACAUAGUUGGCUGUGCUGAAAGCAAUCACCAUUGCAAUCAGUGCACUAUUAAGGAGAUUUUAGCGGUCAACCGUGUUAUUAAAAUUUUGCGUCGCUGAUUUGAGUUUGAGGAAAAGAAACAUCGUCCUAAGGUAAACGGAGAGGGUGGAAAGAGAGAAGAAUAAAGGCCAAUGCAUUCGAUAUGAUAAAUACUUUAAAGGUUGCCUCGUGAAUCAGAAGAGGAGUACCCCUCUUCGGAUCCUCUUUCACUCUUGAAACCACCUGGGACGGUUAUUGCUGCCCGCGAAUGUGACCGUGGCUAUAAGUCCUGCCACUAUUAAAUGACCUUCUCUUUUCUUCUCCAAGCUUACUGUAGAGAUAGUAAUUGGCAAGCGAAAGGGACGAACUGGUUCGUCCGCCACUUGAUCAUUCUCAAUUUCUUCCAACAAUUCAUUGAUUUGCUCCUGCCAUGCCAAAAACAUUAGCCAAUUGUAUUGUAGGUUUAUUAAAGAUGUUAAUUCAAAACUUGAAUAUUAAUAAAACCAUAGCCAUGGAAAUGCAAUACAUAUGCACGCACACACACCUGUUUAUAAUGAUGUUUCUCAUGUUGAACUGCAUUAUAAACUUCUUGAGGUGUCAUUCCAAAAAGCACCUUCCAACUUCAUUAGAUUUCUGAGUGAUCCAUAUACAAUCUCAAUACCACCACGCUUGAAAAGAAAAAAGCUCUAAUGGAUAGGAAGAGCCUCUAAAAGCCAGAUAAUGAAGUAAAGUCAAACCUUUGUGUCCACUUUUCACAACAAUCUGGACAUAAAAUGAGAAUCUUUGAAACUGUUCCAAGAUUAACCUUGUCUGGCUGCCAUAAGAAGGGGUGUCAUCCCCCUCUUUUUAUCACCCAUAUAGGCAGCUGAUUACAUCCCUUUUUAACAGUUCUUCCACAACUGAGAAUCUACGACCUAAGUGUGCAGCAUAAUGAAGAGGGGUGCGUCCAUCUUCAUCUCUUUCCUUUGUCAAAUUCCCCCUUCUUCUUUAAUAUUACCCUUAUUGCCUCUAAAUCCAAGCAAAAAAAAAAAUGUCAAUAGACCUGUUCUUUAUUUAUUUCAAAAUUUUUUUAAAGAAAAAAUGGAACUAACUCAACAAAAUACCUGGCAUCUCCAGCCAUAGCUGCUGCAUGCAAAGAUGUUCUACCGUGGGGGCCGCCAUGAGCUGUUGACUUCGAUUUAUCUAAUAAUAGAGUCAACAAGCGCCCAGAUCCUUCUCCUCCUAGCUGCUAUGUAAAGUGGAGUCUCCUGUUUUUUGUUGGCAGAAUACGGAAAAUCAGGGUCUUCAAACUCCAACAAUGCUUUUACCACUUCAACAUUGCCACACCCUGCUGCUUCAUGUAAAGCCGUGUUGGAUUCCUGAUCCGUAAUCCUCAGCAUCUCCCUCACUGCACUUACUUGAUCCAUUCCCAGCUCUAAAUCUCCAUCUCUAGCUUUUGCGCAAGACUUGAUUAGAAGUUUCACAAUAGCAGAAUGUCCAUACCUUGCUGCAACGUGCAAAGGAGUUUGACCUUUAGCAUUCGUUUGGAAUAGCAGUGACGGACACUUGCUGAGAAUUUGUUCGAUAAAAUCUGAUUUUUUUUCUCUUUUUAUCAUAGUAACGAAAAAUUCAAAACGUAUAGGAUGGUACAAUUCCUACGGAGAAGAUUUUGAUUAUUGAGAAUUUGACAGUCU